RNAcentral lists this ribosomal RNA (429 nucleotides) under Theileria luwenshuni. Its description in RNAcentral is "SSU rRNA". It matches the Rfam family "Eukaryotic small subunit ribosomal RNA", at positions 529 to 992 of the family's 1831-position model. The record is from RNAcentral. Lineage: Eukaryota; Apicomplexa; Aconoidasida; Piroplasmida; Theileriidae.
CCUCUUCCACGAGUAUCAAUUGGAGGGCAAGUCUGGUGCCAGCAGCCGCGGUAAUUCCAGCUCCAAUAGCGUAUAUUAAAAUUGUUGCAGUUAAAAAGCUCGUAGUUGAAUUUCUGCUGCAUUUCAUCUUCUUUUUGAUGAGUUGGUGUAUUGUGGCUUAUUUCGGAUGAUACUUGUAUUAUCCGGAUGAUUACUUUGAGAAAAUUAGAGUGCUCAAAGCAGGCUUUUGCCUUGAAUAGUUUAGCAUGGAAUAAUAAAGUAGGACUUUGGUUCUAUUUUGUUGGUUUUAGGUACCAAAGUAAUGGUUAAUAGGAACAGUUGGGGGCAUUCGUAUUUAACUGUCAGAGGUGAAAUUCUUAGAUUUGUUAAAGACGAACUACUGCGAAAGCAUUUGCCAAGGAUGUUUUCAUUAAUCAAGAACGAAAGUUA